CCAGACAGCCAGGAUGUUGGCUUAGAAGCAGCCAUCAUUUAAAGAAAGCGUAAUAGCUCACUGGUCGAGUCGGCCUGCGCGGAAGAUGUAACGGGGCUAAACCAUGCACCGAAGCUGCGGCAGCGACACUGUGUGUUGUUGGGUAGGGGAGCGUUCUGUAAGCCUGUGAAGGUGUGUCGUGAGGCAUGCUGGAGGUAUCAGAAGUGCGAAUGCUGACAUAAGUAACGAUAAAGCGGGUGAAAAGCCCGCUCGCCGGAAGACCAA
RNAcentral lists this ribosomal RNA (264 nucleotides) under Salmonella enterica subsp. enterica serovar Heidelberg. RNAcentral describes it as "partial 23S ribosomal RNA". It matches the Rfam family "Bacterial large subunit ribosomal RNA", at positions 1085 to 1348 of the family's 2925-position model. RNAcentral also lists the same sequence under 1 other name. The record is from RNAcentral. Lineage: Bacteria; Pseudomonadati; Pseudomonadota; Gammaproteobacteria; Enterobacterales; Enterobacteriaceae.